Cyprinus carpio carpio is the source of this 1175-nucleotide long non-coding RNA. NCBI's taxonomy places the organism in Eukaryota, Metazoa, Chordata, Actinopteri, Cypriniformes, Cyprinidae. The record is from Ensembl.
UACAGGAAUUUAAAAUACGGAAUAAAAGCAGCGCAUGAAGAGUCGCACGGGAAUACUGCGGCUUUGUUUUGUUUGGUUUGGAAUUAUUAUCCUUUUGUUUUAUUUUCAUAAUACUUGUACAGAUACCUCAGUGGUCGAUGAAUUAAAGAGCCCGCCUUUGACUGCUUAAUACAAUGAGUUUUUAAAUUUCCAUAUUGCUCCAUAUGGGAGUGUUCAUUCAUCAAGUGUUAAAGAAUUAAAGAUCAAUACUGUAAAAUACUGGCUUCAGUACUGUAAAAUAACCAAUGGAUUGCAUAAGUCCCAUGCAGAAUAAGAGAAGACACAGUGGAGAGCUGGAGCAGGGGCACAACCAGUCGCAGGUGUUACCCACCCCAGGACGCGGAGCAGGACAGUAUUGCCCCAGGUGUAUGGCAGGUGAACCUGGCCAUAUAAACCACAUCAAGAGAUAUUGAUCAGCAUUGCCGAUGACUCCUGGAGAAAAUGAAUCGACUGAAUAAACGGCCGAUGCAGAGAAGCAAUCUGCAGUUUAUCCGUACCGUGUGGGUUUUUUCCCGCAUGCUUUGUGCCUUCCAUGCAUUUUCCAACUGGCCUCACCUAACUACAGUAGUACCUAUUAUUGUUUCGUAGCAGUGAGGUUUACUUUACCAAGAACACUCCGGUGGUAAAAAAAAAGAAAAGGCCAUGAAUGAUGGUUUAGAUCACACUUUUAGUGAAGUGUUUUGAGAUUUUUGCACUGUCCAUUUUUCAGUGUUGCAUGGUCUUGAUUUUCAAGAAGGAAUUACUGCUGUAAAUGCAAUGUUAGCAAACUCUGUGAAACUAUAUGCACAAAUAAUCUCUUUUAUACUAUAUUUCUAAAAAAUGUAAUUAUUAAAUCACUUUCAGGAUUAAAUGUCAUUUCACAUGUAGAUUUUAUUUUUAAGAAUGUUUGUGGUUUCACAUUUCAGUUGCAUUCAGUUUGGUAGUUAAAUGUCCAGAAAUCUAUGUCAGGUUCAUUUUAGUAGAUAUAUUGUCACUGUGUUGUUCUUAUCCCAAAUAGAUUUGUCUUUUGUUUUGUUUUCCUUUGUAGAAGACAUUUCAGUGUAUUCACUGAUUUUAACCUAUUUUGUAUCCUUUAUAAACCAAUCCAGAAUAUUUUGCAUAAAAUCUAAUUUGAUUAAAGCUUUUGUGUGUUUUUU